UGGGGAAUAUUGGACAAUGGGGGGAACCCUGAUCCAGCCAUGCCGCGUGUGUGAAGAAGGCCUUAUGGUUGUAAAGCACUUUAAGCGAGGAGGAGGCUACUCUAGUUAAUACCUAGGGAUAGUGGACGUUACUCGCAGAAUAAGCACCGGCUAACUCUGUGCCAGCAGCCGCGGUAAUACAGAGGGUGCGAGCGUUAAUCGGAUUUACUGGGCGUAAAGCGUGCGUAGGCGGCUUAUUAAGUCGGAUGUGAAAUCCCCGAGCUUAACUUGGGAAUUGCAUUCGAUACUGGUGAGCUAGAGUAUGGGAGAGGAUGGUAGAAUUCCAGGUGUAGCGGUGAAAUGCGUAGAGAUCUGGAGGAAUACCGAUGGCGAAGGCAGCCAUCUGGCCUAAUACUGACGCUGAGGUACGAAAGCAUGGGGAGCAAACAGGAUUAGAUACCCCCGUAGUC
Molecule: ribosomal RNA, 449 nt
Filed under: uncultured Gammaproteobacteria bacterium
Lineage: Bacteria; Pseudomonadati; Pseudomonadota; Gammaproteobacteria
Description: bacterial SSU rRNA
Rfam family: Bacterial small subunit ribosomal RNA
Source: RNAcentral